UCUCUCACCAUUUUCUUGCGGGUGUAUUCCACGGCCCGGAGGUCAGCAAGUCUCUCCUCUUCUUUCUUGCGCUCCUUGGCCAGAAAGCUUUCCUCAUUAAUACGAAGGAUCUCCUGCUGCAAACGCUGCCUCUCCUCCUUCUUUCUCUCCAGAGCCUGGGGGAGAACCACACACAGGUUCUCCAGCAUUUGCUGGCCCUCCUGCUCUUUUAUCUCAUCCUGCAGCAUCCUGUCCUCCAGUCGCUCCUCAAUCUGUUUCACAAUCAGCUGCUUUCCCCUAAAGAGACAAACAUCAAAAAUAGCACGACAGCACAGAAGGGAGUGUUGUAUAUGCUGUGUAUUUGACGUUAAAUUGGUCUUUGUUUGUUUGUGUGAGCAAGAGUGCCCUCACUGGAUCCUCUGAUGUUUGCGCAGCUCAUCGAUCUGCUCCUGGGCCUCCAGGGCUUUCCUGCGGUCCACCUCCAUCAUGGCAUCAAGCCGCCUCUCCUCCUCCUGCAGUUCAGUCAGGAUCUGCUGCCUCUCCAAGAUCUGGGCGUCCCGCACUGCAUGGCACUGGGCACCCAGGAUCAACUGGGCCACCACAAUAAGGUACUGAGCUCUUUCCUUUGCCUCAGCUUCCAGCUCGCUUAGACCCUGGUUCUUCUGACGGGACAGAUCAGCCUGACGGAUAUGUGCCUUCCUCUCCUCAGCAGCAUCCUGGCCAGGAAAACCAGAAACAUUGUGGAACGGUGCAAGUGGUUUGCUUUCUUGCUGUUAACGUUUACACAAGGGUGUAGAGCCGAAGCUGGGCCCUGUAGUAUCAGUUCACCAAGUUUUCAUGUGGGAAAGAGCGCUUACAAAGUCAUCAUCCUCUCUAGAGUUGCAAAAUUGUAUCCAAUGUUUUCUGAAUAACCUGAUUAAGUACACAAUCCAAAGAGAAUAAGAACAAUAUCCUGAAUCUUUUAAACAAGAUUUUAGGAAAAUACGGGAAAGUUACUGGAACUUUACGUCCUUUCUCACCAUAGCCAUUUCUCUCUCCUUCUGCUGGGCUUCCAACAUUGCCUCCCGCUCCUCCCUGGUUGGAACUCGAGAAGCAGUGGCAAUCCUCUGAAUCUCAGAGGGGCGCAGAAUGAUGGACAGCCCAGAUGGAUCCUCACUCGGGAUCCUGGGAAAAUUACAAAAUUAUUUGUUUUUUAUUUGUAAUUCACCACCUGAAAGAUGUAACUGUCUGAAUAUCUUUAUUAGUGCAAUUCAAGUUCAUGCAUUCUUUUUAAUGAUAUUGCAGUAUUAAGCAAAGUACAAAAAAAUGUAUUUGCACAUAGCAGAGUAAUUGCUUCACAUAGUGUGAGAAAAAUUACUUAAAUGUAAAAUAAAACAAUUAAACACAAGUUGUGGAAUGCUGAAAAUACAUUAGACGUGAUUAACACAUUCACAGUAUAACAGAAUGAGAAAUAAAGGUAUAGACAAAUACUU
Molecule: long non-coding RNA, 1451 nt
Organism: Esox lucius (northern pike)
Lineage: Eukaryota; Metazoa; Chordata; Actinopteri; Esociformes; Esocidae
Exons: 3
Source: RefSeq, a predicted model, not a curated record